Molecule: ribosomal RNA, 621 nt
Filed under: Streptomyces sp.
Lineage: Bacteria; Bacillati; Actinomycetota; Actinomycetes; Kitasatosporales; Streptomycetaceae
Description: bacterial SSU rRNA
Rfam family: Bacterial small subunit ribosomal RNA
Source: RNAcentral
ACGCUGGCGGCGUGCUUAACACAUGCAAGUCGAACGAUGAAGCCGCUUCGGUGGUGGAUUAGUGGCGAACGGGUGAGUAACACGUGGGCAAUCUGCCCUUCACUCUGGGACAAGCCCUGGAAACGGGGUCUAAUACCGGAUAAUACUCCUGCCUGCAUGGGUGGGGGUUGAAAGCUCCGGCGGUGAAGGAUGAGCCCGCGGCCUAUCAGCUUGUUGGUGGGGUAAUGGCCUACCAAGGCGACGACGGGUAGCCGGCCUGAGAGGGCGACCGGCCACACUGGGACUGAGACACGGCCCAGACUCCUACGGGAGGCAGCAGUGGGGAAUAUUGCACAAUGGGCGAAAGCCUGAUGCAGCGACGCCGCGUGAGGGAUGACGGCCUUCGGGUUGUAAACCUCUUUCAGCAGGGAAGAAGCGCAAGUGACGGUACCUGCAGAAGAAGCGCCGGCUAACUACGUGCCAGCAGCCGCGGUAAUACGUAGGGCGCAAGCGUUGUCCGGAAUUAUUGGGCGUAAAGAGCUCGUAGGCGGCUUGUCACGUCGGAUGUGAAAGCCCGGGGCUUAACCCCGGGUCUGCAUUCGAUACGGGCUAGCUAGAGUGUGGUAGGGGAGAUCGGAAUUC